UAAACGACUCUCGGCAACGGAUAUCUUGGCUCACGCAUCGAUGAAGAACGUAGCAAAAUGCGAUACUUGGUGUGAAUUGCAGAAUCCCGUGAACCAUCGAGUUUUUGAACGCAAGUUGCGCCCGAAGCCUUUUGGCCGAGGGCACAUCUGCCUGGGCGUCACAC
RNAcentral lists this ribosomal RNA (164 nucleotides) under Senecio cremeiflorus. RNAcentral describes it as "5.8S ribosomal RNA". It matches the Rfam family "5.8S ribosomal RNA". Rfam says of the family: 5.8S ribosomal RNA (5.8S rRNA) is a component of the large subunit of the eukaryotic ribosome. It is transcribed by RNA polymerase I as part of the 45S precursor that also contains 18S and 28S rRNA. Functionally, it is thought that 5.8S rRNA may be involved in ribosome translocation. The record is from RNAcentral. Lineage: Eukaryota; Viridiplantae; Streptophyta; Magnoliopsida; Asterales; Asteraceae.